UAGGAAGAUCAAAAUGCAUGAAAUAAAAGUUCCUCACCUUCGGUGAACUUGUUUGGUGUCUGGAUGAAUGUUGACUUACUGUGAGUUCACCUGAUAGCUAUUGCAGCAGCAAGUAUGUGGUAAAUAUUCAGAUGCUUUACAGGUACAGUUGUUACUUAUGGUGCAGGUGCAUUAAAAAUAGCAACUGCUGCAGAUGUGUGACUACUCACAGCAAAAUACAAACCAUUGGUUGAAGUUUUUUUUUCCUUGAACAGACUCAGAUAAAGAAGAGAAGAAAGUAAGCUUUUCAGUACUUAAAGUGGGCUUAUACGAAAGAUGGAGAGAGACUUUUUAUGACGGCAUGCAGUGAUAGAACAAGAUGUAAUGGUUUUUAACUGAAAGAGGGUAGAUUUGGGUUACUUCAGAGAAAGAAAUUCUUCAUUAUAAGGGGUGUGAGGCCCUGAAACAGGAUGCCCAAAGAAACUGUAGGUGCUCCAUCCCAGGAAGUGUUCAAGGCCAGGCUGGAUGGGACUUUGAGCAUCCUGAACUAGUGGGAUGUGUCCCUGUCCAUAGCAGAGGGGUAGAAGUAGUUGAACUUUAAGGUCCCUUUCAACCCAAGCCAUUCUGUGAUUCUAUGAUUCCAUAGGUACCUCUUGGUUCAGUAUGUAUUGACCAAAGACCCUAGUGCAGGGAGAUGGUGGAGAAGCAGCUCCUUCCUGAACAUGAUGAAUGACUCAUUUUUCCGCUCACUGCUGUUUCAUUCUUUUUUUUUAAUUUUUAUUUUUUUCUUUUCUUUUCUUUUCUGUUUGUUUGUUUGUCUGUUUUAGUUUUCAACCUGAGAUGGGGAAGCCCUAUAGCAACUGCUUCUCUCCUUCAAGAAGAGUAGAACGGAAGAGCUGGCAAGCAGAGACACUACCAGUGCUUUGUGGAAGCCGACAUAUGAAUUUGUUCUACAAAUGUGCCAGGGACACACUGAUCCAACAGUUAGAUCACUUCCAGAAGACACGGAGUUAGAUCUGUGAGCUCACUUCCAAUUCCUUCCAAUUACUGUCUAAUAAAAAAAAAAUUCUGAAUAAAGUAAACCA
Molecule: long non-coding RNA, 1064 nt
Filed under: Anas platyrhynchos platyrhynchos (common mallard)
Lineage: Eukaryota; Metazoa; Chordata; Aves; Anseriformes; Anatidae
Description: lncRNA (ENSAPLG00000029069.1)
Source: RNAcentral